Molecule: ribosomal RNA, 482 nt
Filed under: uncultured bacterium
Lineage: Bacteria
Description: partial 16S ribosomal RNA
Rfam family: Bacterial small subunit ribosomal RNA
Source: RNAcentral
AUUGAACGCUGGCGGCAUGCCUUACACAUGCAAGUCGAACGGUAACAGGUCUUCGGAUGCUGACGAGUGGCGAACGGGUGAGUAAUACAUCGGAACGUGCCCGAUCGUGGGGGAUAACGGAGCGAAAGCUUUGCUAAUACCGCAUACGAUCUACGGAUGAAAGCAGGGGACCGCAAGGCCUUGCGCGGACGGAGCGGCCGAUGGCAGAUUAGGUAGUUGGUGGGAUAAAAGCUUACCAAGCCGACGAUCUGUAGCUGGUCUGAGAGGACGACCAGCCACACUGGGACUGAGACACGGCCCAGACUCCUACGGGAGGCAGCAGUGGGGAAUUUUGGACAAUGGGCGAAAGCCUGAUCCAGCCAUGCCGCGUGCAGGAUGAAGGCCUUCGGGUUGUAAACUGCUUUUGUACGGGACGAAAAGACUCUUUCUAAUAAAGAGGGUCCAUGACGGUACCGUAAGAAUAAGCACCGGCUAACUACGUG